CAAAAUAACUUUUCCUUCUUGUGUCUUCCA
RNAcentral lists this non-coding RNA (30 nucleotides) under Rattus norvegicus (Norway rat). The record is from RNAcentral. Lineage: Eukaryota; Metazoa; Chordata; Mammalia; Rodentia; Muridae.